Molecule: long non-coding RNA, 738 nt
Organism: Oncorhynchus keta (chum salmon)
Lineage: Eukaryota; Metazoa; Chordata; Actinopteri; Salmoniformes; Salmonidae
Exons: 3
Source: RefSeq, a predicted model, not a curated record
ACAGUGAAUACAGGGUCAAACGCAAUGCGGCAGGCAGGGUAUCCCAGUGGUUAGAGUGUAGAGGUGGCAGGUAGCCUAGUGGUUAGAGUGUAGAGGUGGCAGGUAGCCUAGUGGUUAGAGUGUAGAGGUGGCAGGUAGCCUAGUGGUUAGAGUGUAGAGGUGGCAGGUAGCCUAGUGGUUAGAGUGUAGAGGCGGCAGGGUAGCCUAGUGGUUAGAGUGUAGAGGCGGCAGGGUAGCCUAGUGGUUAGAGUGUAGAGGUGGCAGGUAGCCUAGUGGUUAGAGUGUAGAGGUGGCAGGUAGCCUAGUGGUUAGAGUGUAGAGGUGGCAGGUAGCCUAGUGGUUAGAGUGUAGAGGCGGCAGGGUAGCCUAGUGGUUAGAGUGUAGAGGCGGCAGGGUAGCCUAGUGGUUAGAGUGUAGAGGUGACAGGUAGUGGUUAGAGUGUAGAGGCGGCAGGGUAGCCUAGUGGUUAGAGUGUAGAGGCGGCAGGGUAGCCUAGUGGUUAGAGUGUAGAUGCGGCAGGGUAGCCUAGUGGUUAGAGUGUAGAUGCGGCAGGGUAGCCUAGUGGUUAGAGUGUAGAGGCGGCAGGGUAGCCUAGUGGUUAGAGUGUAGAGGCGGCAGGGUAGCCUAGUGGUUAGAGUGUAGAGGCGGCAGGGUAGCCUAGUGGUUAGAGUGUAGAGGCGGCAGGGUAGCCUAGUGGUUAGAGUGGAGGGGCGGCAGGGUAGCCUAGUGGUUAGAGUG